RNAcentral lists this ribosomal RNA (440 nucleotides) under uncultured bacterium. Its description in RNAcentral is "bacterial SSU rRNA". It matches the Rfam family "Bacterial small subunit ribosomal RNA", at positions 338 to 775 of the family's 1533-position model. The record is from RNAcentral.
CCUACGGGAGGCAGCAGUAAGGAAUAUUGGGCAAUGGACGCAAGUCUGACCCAGCCAUGCCGCGUGGAGGAUGAAGGUCCUCUGGAUUGUAAACUUCUUUUAUCUGAGAAGAAACCCGGGAAUUCUUUUCCGGUUGACGGUACCAGAUGAAUAAGCACCGGCUAACUCCGUGCCAGCAGCCGCGGUAAUACGGAGGGUGCAAGCGUUAUCCGGAUUCACUGGGUUUAAAGGGUGCGUAGGUGGAUUGGUAAGUCCGUGGUGAAAUCUCCGAGCUUAACUCGGAAACUGCCGUGGAUACUAUCAAUCUUGAAUACUGUGGAGGUAAGCGGAAUAUGUCAUGUAGCGGUGAAAUGCUUAGAUAUGACAUAGAACACCGAUAGCGAAGGCAGCUUGCUACACAGUUAUUGACACUGAGGCACGAAAGCGUGGGGAGCAAACAG